CAAGGAAUAUUGGGCAAUGGCCGAAAGGCUGACCCAGCGACGCCGCGUGGGGGAUGAAGGCCCUCGGGUCGUAAACCCCUUUUCUCAGGGACGAAGAUGACGGUACCUGAGGAAGAAGCCCCGGCUAACUACGUGCCAGCAGCCGCGGUAAUACGUAGGGGGCGAGCGUUGUCCGGAAUUACUGGGCGUAAAGCGCGCGUAGGUGGUCCGCCAAGUUCGGCGUGAAAUCUCCAGGCUCAACUUGGAGGGGUCGUCGAAGACUGACGGACUAGGGUCUGGCAGAGGCAGGUAGAAUUCCCGGUGGAGCGGUGAAAUGCGUAGAGAUCGGGAGGAAUACCAGUGGCGAAGGCGGCCUGCUGGGCCACGACCGACACUGAGGUGCGAAAGCGUGGGGAGCGAACCGGAUUAGAUACCCGGGUAGUCCACGCCCUAAACGAUGGGUACUAGGCGUGGGGGGUAUCGACCCCCUCUGUGCCGCAGCUAACGCGAGAAGUACCCCGCCUGGGGAGUACGGCCGCAAGGUUG
RNAcentral lists this ribosomal RNA (525 nucleotides) under uncultured bacterium. RNAcentral's name for it is "bacterial SSU rRNA". It matches the Rfam family "Bacterial small subunit ribosomal RNA", at positions 355 to 896 of the family's 1533-position model. The record is from RNAcentral.